Molecule: RNA transcript, 9045 nt
Organism: Aedes albopictus (Asian tiger mosquito)
Lineage: Eukaryota; Metazoa; Arthropoda; Insecta; Diptera; Culicidae
Gene: Phyhd1
Gene name: phytanoyl-CoA dioxygenase domain-containing protein 1
Exons: 2
Source: RefSeq, a predicted model, not a curated record
UAGAUCACAUUCUGGCGCGAAUCGGGACUGGCGUAGUAUGGAGUAAGUUGGAUAUAAGGGAUUCUUUUCUACAAAUCAUGGUUGCUGCGGAGUCUCGAGAUAUUCUCACGUUUAUAACAGAAAAGGGGUUGUUUAGAUUCAAGAGGCUUCCGUUUGGCCUCAUAACUGCGCCUGAAAUUUUCCAAAGAGUCAUUGACGAAAUUCUUUGCGGUUGUGAGGGCACCCAUUGGUACCUUGAUGAUAUUUUUGUGGAAGGCGAAACUCUAGAAGAGCAUGAUGCUCGAUUGGAGAAGGUUAUGGCUAAACUCAAGGAGCGAGGGGUACAACUGAAUAUGGAUAAAUGCCGCUACAGGGUUACUGAACUGGAAUUUCUCGGAUAUAAGAUUUCGGAAUCUGGAAUAGCUCCAUCUGAGGCUAAAGUUGAAGCAAUCAUAGCGUUCCGUCGUCCUGCAAACGAAGGUGAGAUCCGUAGCUUUCUGGGUCUGGCCAACUACCUCAACAGGUACAUACCUCAUUUAGCCACCCUGGAUGAACCGCUGAGGGAAUUGACCAGGAAGGGUGUCAAAUUCUCUUGGGAUUCACGUCAUGAAACGUCAUUUCAAGCCAUUAAACGUGCCAUGUCAGAUGUUCGUAUCCUUGGGUUCUAUGACGCACGCGACAGAACGGCUGUGAUUGCCGAUGCCAGUCCCACGGGGCUGGGGGCAAUGCUUGUACAGACGAAUAGGCAAGGGCACGAUAGAGUAGUUAGCUUCGCAUCGAAAUCACUCACGGCAACUGAAAGAAGAUACUGUCAGACGGAGAAGGAGGCUUUGGGACUGGUAUGGGCCGUCGAAAAAUUCCAAUUUUACCUCUUGGGUCGAAAAUUUGAUUUGGUUACGGAUUGCAAGGCAUUGGUGUAUUUGUUUACACCACGAUCGAAACCGUGCUCAAGGAUUGAACGGUGGGUGUUGAGAUUGCAAUGCUUCAAUUACUCAAUCGUUCAUAUCCGAGGAGACCAAAAUGCUGCAGACGCUCUUUCUCGUCUUUCAUGUACAACGGUCGAGCCAUUUGAUUCGGCAGAGGAACUUGUUAUUCAACACAUAGCUUCGGUUAGCGCUGAAUCUAUCGCGGUUUCUUGGCAAGAAAUACUUCGUGAAUCUCGAGAUGACGCAGAAAUCAUGAACAUCCUCAAGUGCAUAAUGGAAGACACUAUUGAGCUUCUACCAGCUGCUUAUCGUAUUAUUUCUACAGAGCUGUGCGACGUUGGAGGAGUUCUGCUGCGAGGAGAUCGCAUAGUCGUUUCAGCAGGAUUACGACAACGAGUUCUGACCAUCGCUCACGACGGACACCCCGGGGUGCGUAUGAUGAAAUCAUAUCUUCGAUCUGUCGUUUGGUGGCCUAAAUUGGAUGCAGACACAGAAAACUUCGUGAAAAAUUGUCGUGGGUGUACAUUAGUAGCUGCUCCUGAUGCCCCUGAGCCGAUGCUCCGCCGUUCGCUCCCUUCCGGACCAUGGGAAGAUAUCGCCAUUGAUUACCUAGGGCCACUUCCUGGCGGGCAGAAUUUGUUGGUGAUUGUCGACUGCUAUAGCAGAUACCUCGAAGUGUGCGAAAUGACUUGCAUUAAUUCUACGGAGACUAUCAGCCGCUUGCGAGAAGUCUUCGGCAGAUUCGGUAUACCAUCCUUGAUAAAAGCAGACAACGGUCCACAAUUUGCCAGCACAGAAUUCAAAAACUUUUGUCGUGACUACGGAAUACAUCUGGUCAAUACGAUUCCAUAUUGGCCGCAGAUGAACGGCCAGGUGGAGCGGCAAAAUCGCUCAAUCCUGAAGAGACUUAGUAUCGCACAAGAACUUGGCAAAGAUUGGCGAAAAGAGCUGCACGAAUUUCUUUUGGUAUACCAUGCUACAAAUCAUGCGACUACCGGAGAAGCACCAUCGAAACUGAUGUUCGGGCGCAGAAUCAGGGGUAGACUUCCUUAUGUUCCGGUCCAUUACGAGGAUGAGGCUGUGCGAGAUGUCGACGGAAUACAAAAAGAGAAGGGAAAGAACUACUCUGACGGGAAGCGUCGAGCCACUUACAGCGAAAUACGGGAAGGUGACAAAGUGUUUGUGAAGCGGAUGAAAAAGAAUCAUAAGUUGGAGGCGGACUACUCUGCAGAGGAAUACGAUGUUGUGAACAAAAAGGGGUCUGAUGUCAUUGUACGUUCCCGGGUCUCCGGGAAAGAGUUCCGUCGCAACGUGACGCAUCUUAAGAAGGUUCCACAAAUAGACGACAAUGUUCAGCCCACAGCGACGACAGAGACGGAUCAAAGCACAUCAAGCGAAGUGGUUGAUGGAAGGAUGGAUGAAACCGUUCAAUUGACUGAAACGCCGUCUGGUCGGAAACGUGAGAGACAACAACCAACGAAAUUCAAAGGCUAUGUUCCUUUCUAAAAUUUUUGUAAGUAAAGGUGGGGUUGUAGGGUCUGGGAGCACUGGCAAGACAGAAUGUUGAAAGGAGCAACACGCUCAUGGGAGGUGAGAGAUAGGGUAAAAAAUAUAAUUUGGACAUGUAUAUAAUUUGGACAUGCACUGCGAUGUAUGCCUUUUUCCGGAGAGCUAAUAAAAGUAGAUACUUCUGAAUAUCGACUAUUGGAUCAAACAGACUCUAUUCUGAUGACUUACGUUGAAAAUACGCUUAACAAUUAAGAAUUUAUUUCAAAAUUAUCGAAAAUGUAAAAUGUUUCACUAAAACCCCUCAAAUGCACAGGUAUGCAAGACGACAUACACUUCACAGUCACAUACAAUAUUAACCUCAAAAUCGUUGAUAAAAUAAUUGUAAGAAAUUUAAAAGCCAUAUCGCAAUGAGAACUGUUCAAUAAAGAAGCAUUGGGCAGCCAAUCUCUUAACAUUCAUCUAGAACGCCUAAAAUAGGUGGUGUCCAAAAUACAUUACAAGUUUUCUACUGUAAAUAUAUUUUGGUCAUCUGACGAACUGCAUGGGGAUGCUGUGCGAUUGCAUACUUGGAGGCGUAUUCUGUGGUUCUGGCGAUAUUUCCUCGAUUUUAACAAAAACUGUAAUAGUUAUCAAAAUAGAUACCUGUUAAGCGGAGAAAUUUGAUUAUUUACACGAAAUUAUUAGUUAAUUUAUGCUACUUUCAUGAUAUAGCUGUAUUCAUGGCUAAACAUGGAGAUAAUUGCCCUGUCCAAAUUAUAUAUACCUGAGGGUGUCCAAAACAUAUAUUCGGUGUCCAAAAUGCAAUUCUAACAGGCGAUUGGAAAUCGUGAUUUUAUCAGAUAAAAAUGCGUUCGUUAAGCUUUUUAUCACCAGGAACGCAAAGUACAGUCAUAUUAUAAGCGUAAUAGUAACUUUGCAAAAUAAUCAAUUCCUUUCUAAGGAAGCUAGGGGACGAUUUUUCUAACGUUGUCCUCAGCCUGUCCAAAAUACAUGAAUUACCCUAAACGUCUUGGGGUGACAAGGGAAGAAGAGAAAGAGAGAGAUAGUUUGGGAGUGUGAAACGAGAAAGGUGUGAAUAAACCGGGUCGAAUACAAAUCGUUUUUCUAGUUGCAAGACUUGAUAUCAAAUCCGAAGACCAGCGGCACUACAGUCCUGUGAUUUCGCCAACAAAAAAAUGAGAUCAUGUCAUGAUUUCUGUUACCAUUAGGAAUAAAGAGUAAUCGCCUAAGGGAAGAUUCAUUUAUUGUACGUGGAUUUGCUAACUGAACACGACGAAUCAGAACCGUCGUUUUUGGAAUCGCCGUUCGAAUCGCCGUUGGAAUCGUCGUUCGAUUGCAGAGCGAGAAAGCAACAAAACUGACACAUCGCUUUGACAUAGGGUAUUGUACCAUUUGGGCAGGUGUACCUAUUUUGGGCACUUGUCGCUAUAACUAAGUCAAUUUCAAACCGAUUGAUUUGAAUUUAGAUGCUUAGAUACUGUACGUGCCUAAUUCAUGACAAAAUUUCAAAUCAAUCGGUUUAAAAUUGACUUAGUUAUAGCAGCAAGUGCCCAAAAUAGGAACACCUGCCCAAAUGGUACAAGACUCUAUUUAACGUAGGAGCAACAUGUGCGUGAGAUUCUCUCUCUCGGUUGGUGUGGUUUGUUUUGAUUCAAUCUGACAUUGCUUUUAUGCUGCUCAUGCUGCCGAUGCUGCCAGCUGAUGGUGGUAAGGAUGGAGGAGCAUAGUCGGAGGGGUGCUCCAAUGUGUUUUCAGAAGAAUUCGUCGAGAUAAAAAGUUUCGUUAUAAAAAAAUUAAACUUUUCAAUGCGUGUUACGUAAAUUAUUUUACAGAGAAUCAGUCUAGAGGUCGUUUAACGUAAUAAUAGCAUUAACAUAAAAGUCUAUAAUUUUACAAGAACGCAUUAAAACGUUCCUUGAAAUUUAAUGGUGAUUCCCAACCAGCUCAAGCAAAUUCCCUUGCAAUUUAUCUUCGAAGUAAAAUCACAAUAUUACGUCCAUCAUUUUUCGGGAUUUCUGGUCCCCUCUCUCCCUCUGUCACGUUAAUCUCCUAUACCUAAUACACGUACUGUCACACUUUCCUAGACCUCCCCCUCUUCCCCAAAUAUUGGACGUGAUUUAAAAACGUUCCCUAAGCUUCUUUAUUACUUGUCCGAUAAUUCUGUUCUCUGGUAUCGAUUAUGUCAGCCCGAAAAGCUACCAAGAGCUGACAAAACCUGGUCAUCAUAGUAUGGGAUAAAAAUGAAUAAGACCAAUAUUUUAAUAUAUCAAACUCAGGAGCAUCAAUUUUCGUGUAACUUAGUUUUAGAAUUAAGAGAACUUAGUAUUUUCAUUUAAAAUGUCCUAAGUUGGCGCGUUCAAAUAUUGCGAAUCAAGGCUAAAGCUUAAUUUAAAACAAUUACAAUAUGAAAUAUGAAAAAUACGUUGUAGCCUCUCGUGCCAACGCAAAAAAACUAGGAGUAGGUAAUGUCUGAGACAUAACCGCAAUGUUGACGUAGGACAAAUGCUGGAACGAGAUUUCGACUUUUAAGUUUGUUGUUAUGAUAAUACAAAUGGUGGACUGAUGUGUUGAGUAAAGUUGUUGUUUGAUCGCUUUCGCUGAACGCAUUCAUAACCCAACAAACAUUUUUGCUGUAUAAGAGUAUAACAAAUCACUCUUAAGCUAACUUUAGUUCAAGAAGCUGUUAUUCAGCUGGUUCGGUUACUUGUAAAGAUGUUAACUAGUUCAAGAGUUAUUUCGUUUUGAAGAGAAAUGGUCAAAUUACUGUUCUACGAGAGAAUUUUCAUCGUGCGGAUAAAAUUAUUAGAUAAUUGAACGGCAUUAGAUAGAUCUUUUCAAUUAAAGUUUAACGUGAAACUCAUUCGACAAUACGAUAGCCGAGAGUCAUCGCUGAGUUUGUGUGCUGCUGCCUACACCCUUAAAUGAAACAACACAGCGCACGAGUAACUUUCACGCAGCGAGCAAAAAGACAAAGGAAUUUUCAAAGACAAAGACAAAGGAAUCAGGGGGAACAGCUUUUAUGUCCCUAGAUUAGCAGAUGAAGCUCCUCCCAUUCGGCUGGCUUUCCAGUUUAUUUCGUUUGCAUGUCCCGCCCCGCAUGCACCAGACACUCGAAACGGUUAAUCAACCGAGAAAUGAGAAAAUUUUCAUUUAACGAAUAAAGUAACCAAAAUAUUGGAGGAUUUAGAUUAUUUUAAUUCGAAAAAUGGUUAAAUUAAACAAUGUUUCUAGAAAAAUGGUCUGGAUAGGAUAAAGCGUUGCUAAAUUCCUGGUUGAAUCAUUAGUGACCGGCAUCAUUAUUGUUGCGGGGCCACAAAACAUACAAUCCUUCACUUUUAGGUUGCACCACACUUUUACCGAGCGAUGGAAUGAAAUAAUUAGGGUAAAUGUACCAAUAGUGGUGCAAUUAGUAGCUCCUUAUAGAAAAAUAAUUGAAUAAAAUUGAUUGUACCACAAAAUAAAAAGUCUUAAAACGUUAAUCGGUAGUUUUUCACUUAAAUUUGCUAGGAAAAAUGUAAAAACCAUUGUUUAUUUCAGUUUUUGCUAAUAAAUCACUUGCACCAACUAUACUGCCGUGAAUCGCAAGUCAGUCCCAUCUGCAUUUUGGGCAAAAAUGAGUUAAUGGCUGUUUUCGAUCUUUCUUCGGAUGAUCUUUCAGCUGCGUGCAAAAAAAUAUAUAGUUUGUUCAGUAAAAUUGAAAAACAUCACCAAGUCAGAUUGUCCCAUAAUGAAAAGUAAUCGCAAGUCAGUCCCAUUACGAACUUGUGCACCCUCCAGUACAAAAUCUAACACUAUAUUAGCCAUGUUUAUAUUUUUCACUGUUACGUUUUCACGUUUGAAACAAUAUGUGAAAGUUUCAUGAUGAUCGCAGAAGUUUUCAAUUCAUGGAGAUUUUUUAGAGUUUCGCAUAGAAAUCGAAUUUGAAAACUUCAGAGGCCAUUUUCUCAAUGCCUACUUUUUACAUAUGGGACUGACUUGCGAUUCACGGCAGUAUAGGUACACGGUUCCUAUUAUGGAGGUAAAAUUUAACAUUGGUUCCUAUAGUGGCGCAUCCCAUUGAAUUGUUAUGGGACCCACCACUAUUGGGGACUACGAAGCAAAUUACCACAGUUGACCAUGUGCGUGAAGCGCCGAUUUUUUAACAUGGGGAAGCAUAGGAAGUCAAUUUUAAAAUGCUUCUAAAAAAUUCAAAACAUUAUUUAAUUAAAAACGGAUUCAUGUACGGGUUAAGAACCUUCGUAUUCUACACAAUCAGUACUUAAUCUGGGAAAAAACUUUUUAAUUAAAAUAAUAUGCUUAAAAGUUUGCUAAUUGAAUUUCUCAUCACGUACACCAACCCGCUUUUAAUUAAAUAUUGUUUUGAUUUUUUUAGAAGCAUUUGAAAACUGACUUCCUAUGCUUCCCCAUGCUAAAAAAUCGGUCCUUCACGCAUACAGUCAACUUUUUCCAGGUGGCAGCAGCGUACCUUCGAACUCUCGAAUAGGAACACUACCGCCACUGUAGGUGCAAAGGAGCAAAAAAAUUAAGGAAAAUAAUUGUUUAAAAUAGGUUUUUUGGCAAAUCCUGAACACAAAACUGAAUUAAUGUUAGUAAUUAAUUAUGAUGUAUCUAUUAAAAAUGUCAUUUGCAAGCUUUUUGCUCGAAAUAGUGUUAAAUUGGCACUACCACCACUAUUGGUACUACUUCCACUAAGGGAGCUUUUACCCUAUCUGAUUCACAACUCUUGAGGAAUAAUUUUCUAUGGUCCUGAAAAGAACCGUUUGAAUAUUGGACGAUUUCAGACAGAAAAUUUACAUGAAUUUAUCAUGCCACGCAAUGCUUGUUAGAAUGCUGAACGCCGUCGAAAAUUCGCCCGCCGCUUGCUGCCGUGGAUGAGAUUAGUGAUCGCCUUCACUGUUGCUGAGCCACCACCAAGAAUUCAAUCUUUCACUAUUUGGUUUCACUACACUUUCUCGGUCGAUGCAGGAAAUUUAUCCAAUUAACUCUCUAGGAAGCAUUUUCGAUGGUUCUGAAAAGAACCGUUUGAAUUUUAGACGGUUUUAGGUAGAAAUUGAAAUCAAUUCAUCAUGCCACCCAAUGCACAUUGAUUUUAUUCGCGCUGAAUGCUGGACGUCGUUGAGAAUUGGCCCGCCGCUUGCUGACCUGGAUAUUCUUCCUGAUGCUAUCAGCAAUGCGCCACCGUCAAUCAAUCCGUGAAAGGACCGAGCCCCGAGGAAAAGCGGCGCAACUCGCACAUUCGUUGUGGCGGAUCUUUCUUUGGUGGAUUUUGCUGCUGCCUCUGCCACCACCGCUGAGUAAUCGAUGAAAAGUAUUCCUUCCUUGGUCUGCCGCGUUAGACGGUUAGAAGGCGAAUGUGCAACAGCACCCUUGCCGACUACCACCGACACCGAGCCGACACGGCCGUCAAAGAAGAAUAAGCGAAAUCGCAAACGAACAAAGCGGGCAGCUCUCGUUCGAUGCGUUCACCUCGAGACGACAAAGGCAAAUGAGGGAAGAUGCGAAGAAGCAGUAGCUUUUAUAUUCGACGGGAACAUCCAAAAUGUGCUCGAUCGUGAUUGGCUGGAAUAAACAUGGGUUCACUUUUCCCAAUUUUUCAAUAGCUUGUUAUUGAAAAUCAGCAAAUGUUAAUAUUGGACAUAAUUGGUGUAAAGAUUUGCAAUCGAUUGGAGCCAAAAAUUUGAAAAUUCAACGAGAAAUGGCUGAGUUAUAAACGCUCAAAAUCUCCACUUCAAACGUAACGCGGCCGAUUUCUGAAAAUUUAGAAUGACACCCGGUAUAGAAAAGAGAGACGUAGUCCUACGUCAAAAAAAUCUCGAUUUAAUUAACAAAAACCGACCUCAUUUUCGUCCACGCCCUUGAACGCACGGCGCAACCAAUUGUUUGUGCUCACCUGCAUUUUCAACCCAAAGCCAAGUGCAUCUCGUUCCUAUUCCGUCUGUCUUGUGGUGUCGCUCGCACUUGAAAAUUCGCGAAAUCUUGGUCGGGUGCGAAACCAUGGUGGCACACCAUGAGAUAAACAUAUCAUUCUCUCAUUGACGGGGGGCGCCCCGUGACGAGUGCACUUUGAACGUUGGCGCAAUGCUAUUCACGCUGCGGUGGACUUUUUGCCCCAGAGCAGCAACCGGCGACAGCAAAUGAUGCAAUUCCGAAAAUGUGCGCAUCGUCACACCGACUACACAGUGAGGAAGAGUUGGCUCAUAAUUUUCUAAAAAUAUAUUCUUCAUCUGCACGUCCCAAUGAAUGGUACACCUUAUACAGGCAACGAUCGAUCCGGAUGAUGGUGCAGGUUCGAGCGAACCACGCUUCCUCUCCGAGUGGUUUACGGCGUCUCAAGAGAGGAAGUUUGGCUGAGUAAUUCCCGGCGAGAUUUAUGCAUCGCAAACCAAAACAAUGCGUUUCUUUUUGAAACGGCGUGUGUCGUUCGUCGAGUUGAUCCGUCUGGUCAGCGUAAGAUCAGCAAGUCACACGGACUAAAAAGACGGCAUAGUUUAGUUACGCAAAGGAAAGGGACGAGGAAUUCGAAGAAUGUCUGUACACGUCAUCGCCCCCCUUGAACCUGACAAUGAAUAUUGGAGGAUGGUUACACCGUAAUUGAUGACUUCCUGACUCCAGGAGAGGUGACAGAAUUGCU